ACGAACGCUGGCGGCGUGCUUAACACAUGCAAGUCGAACGGAAAGGCCCCUUUGGGGGUACUCGAGUGGCGAACGGGUGAGUAACACGUGAGUAACCUGCCCUUGACUUCGGGAUAACUUCAGGAAACUGGGGCUAAUACCGGAUAGGAAUCCUUGCUGCAUGGUGGGGGUUGGAAAGCUUCGGCGGUUUUGGAUGGACUCGCGGCUUAUCAGCUUGUUGGUGGGGUAGUGGCUUACCAAGGCUUUGACGGGUAGCCGGCUUGAGAGGGCGACCGGCCACAUUGGGACUGAGAUACGGCCCAGACUCCUACGGGAGGCAGCAGUGGGGAAUAUUGCACAAUGGGCGGAAGCCUGAUGCAGCAACGCCGCGUGCGGGAUGACGGCCUUCGGGUUGUAAACCGCUUUCAGCAGGGGCGAAGCUUGUGGUGACGGUACCUGCAGAAGAAGCACCGGCUAACUACGUG
RNAcentral lists this ribosomal RNA (464 nucleotides) under uncultured bacterium. RNAcentral's name for it is "partial 16S ribosomal RNA". It matches the Rfam family "Bacterial small subunit ribosomal RNA", at positions 29 to 507 of the family's 1533-position model. The record is from RNAcentral.